UUAAGUGACGAUAGCCUAGGAGAUACACCUGUUCCCAUGCCGAACACAGCAGUUAAGCCCUAGAACGCCUGAAGUAGUUGGGGGUUGCCCCCUGUGAGAUAUGGUAGUCGCUUAGC
This 116-nucleotide ribosomal RNA is filed under the name Streptococcus sp. NLN76. The record is from RNAcentral. Lineage: Bacteria; Bacillati; Bacillota; Bacilli; Lactobacillales; Streptococcaceae.